UAGGGAAUCUUCCGCAAUGGGCGAAAGCCUGACGGAGCAACGCCGCGUGAGUGAUGAAGGUCUUCGGAUCGUAAAACUCUGUUAUUAGGGAAGAACAAAUGUGUAAGUAACUAUGCACGUCUUGACGGUACCUAAUCAGAAAGCCACGGCUAACUACGUGCCAGCAGCCGCGGUAAUACGUAGGUGGCAAGCGUUAUCCGGAAUUAUUGGGCGUAAAGCGCGCGUAGGCGGUUUUUUAAGUCUGAUGUGAAAGCCCACGGCUCAACCGUGGGGGGUCAUUGGAAACUGGAAAACUUGGGUGCAGAAGAGGAAAGUGGAAUUCCAUGUGUAGCGGUGAAAUGCGCAGAGAUAUGGAGGAACACCAGUGGCGAAGGCGACUUUCUGGUCUGUAACUGACGCUGAUGUGCGAAAGCGUGGGGAUCAAACAGG
This 429-nucleotide ribosomal RNA is filed under the name Actinomycetes bacterium. Its description in RNAcentral is "Actinobacteria bacterium partial 16S ribosomal RNA". It matches the Rfam family "Bacterial small subunit ribosomal RNA", at positions 355 to 776 of the family's 1533-position model. The record is from RNAcentral. Lineage: Bacteria; Bacillati; Actinomycetota; Actinomycetes.